RNAcentral lists this ribosomal RNA (3081 nucleotides) under Cutibacterium acnes. RNAcentral's name for it is "23S ribosomal RNA". It matches the Rfam family "Bacterial large subunit ribosomal RNA". The record is from RNAcentral. Lineage: Bacteria; Bacillati; Actinomycetota; Actinomycetes; Propionibacteriales; Propionibacteriaceae.
UGCAAAGUUGUGUAGUGCGAUCGGUGGAUGCCUUGGCACCAAGAGCCGAUGAAGGACGUUGUGACCUGCGAUAAGCCCUGGGGAGUUGGUGAGCGAGCUGUGAUCCGGGGGGGGUCCGAAUGGGGAAACCUGGAAUGUCCGGAGUAGUGUCCGGUGGCCCUGCCCUGAAUGUAUAGGGGUGUGGGUGGUAACGCGGGGAAGUGAAACAUCUUAGUACCCGUAGGAAGAGAAAACAAGUGUGAUUCCGUGAGUAGUGGCGAGCGAAAGCGGAGGAGGCUAAACCGUGUGUGUGUUCAAGCCGGCAGGUGUUGCAUGUGCGGGGUUGUGGGGGCCUUGUGGUUCUGCUGCCGCAGGAUUGGCCAGUGAGAAAUGUUGCGUGAAGGUGAAGCGUCUGGGAAGGCGUACCGGAGUGGGUGAGAGUCCUGUAACUGUAAGCGUGGCACUGGUGUGGGGUUGCCCCGAGUAGCGUGGGACUCGUGGAAUUUCGCGUGAAUCUGGCGGGACCACCCGUCAAGCCUAAAUACUCCUUGGUGACCGAUAGUGGAUGAGUACCGUGAGGGAAGGGUGAAAAGUACCCCGGGAGGGGAGUGAAAGAGUUCCUGAAACCGGUCGCAUGCAAGCCGUCAGAGCCUGUGUGGUGAUGGCGUGCCUUUUGAAGAAUGAGCCUGCGAGUUAGUGAUGCGUGGCGAGGUUAACCCGUGGUGGGGGAGUCGUAGCGAAAGCGAGUCCGAUAAGGGCGUGAGUCGCGUGUUCUAGACCCGAAGCGGUGUGAUCUAUCCAUGGCCAGGAUGAAGCGUCGGUAAGACGUCGUGGAGGUCCGAACCCACUUCAGUUGAAAAUGGAGGGGAUGAGUUGUGGAUAGGGGUGAAAGGCCAAUCAAACACCGUGAUAGCUGGUUCUCCCCGAAAUGCAUUUAGGUGCAGCGUUGCGUGGUUCUUGUUGGAGGUAGAGCACUGGAUGGUCUAGGGGGCUUAUCGGCUUACCGAAAUCAGCCAAACUCCGAAUGCUGGCAAGUGUAGCGUGGCAGUGAGACGGCGGGGGAUAAGCUUCGUCGUCGAGAGGGAAACAGCCCAGAUCAUCAGCUAAGGCCCCUAAGUGGUGACUCAGUGGGAAAGGAUGUGGAGUUGCGUAGACAACCAGGAGGUUGGCUUGGAAGCAGCCAUCCUUGAAAGAGUGCGUAAUAGCUCACUGGUCAAGUGAUUCCGCGCCGAUAAUGUAGCGGGGCUUAAGUUAUCCGCCGAAGCUGUGGCAACCUGUGUGGUUGGGUAGGGGAGCGUCGUGUCAGUGGUGAAGCUGCCGGGUGACUGUGUGGUGGAGUUGAUGCGAGUGAGAAUGCAGGCAUGAGUAGCGUGUGACGGGUGGGAAUCCCGUCCGCCGAUUAUCCAAGGGUUCCAGGGUCAAGUUUGUCUGCCCUGGGUGAGUCGGGUCCUAAGGCGAGGCCGACAGGCGUAGUCGAUGGGUAACCAGUUGAUAUUCUGGUACCGGCUUGUCACCGUCCGUGUCGAGGUGUGUGAUGCUAAGCAUGUGAGCUUGUCUUGGGAGUGUUUUUGAUGCUUCUGGGGUGGGUGAGUGUGUGAACCGAUCAUGUAGUAGGCAAGCUGCGGAGGGACGCAGUGAGGUAGCUCAUCCCCGGUGAUGGUUGUCCGGGGCUAAGUGUGUGGACUGUCUGGUAGGUAAAUCCGCUGGGCGUGAAGGUUGAGGCAUGAUGGGGAGCCCAUGGUUGUGGGUGAGUGAGUGAUCCUGUACUGUCGAGAAAAGCUUCGUGAGCGAGGUGGCGGGUCCGCCCGUACCCUAAACCGACACUGGUGGAUAGGUAGAGUAUACCGAGGCGAUCGAGUGAAUCGUGGUGAAGGAACUCGGCAAAAUGCCCCCGUAACUUUGGGAUAAGGGGAGGCUGAGCUGUCGUGCACCCGUGCGGUGUGGUGGCGGUGAGGGGCGCAGAGUCCAGGAGCUGACUGGUACUAAUAGACCGAGGACUUUCAUUAACACGUAAGACGAUGUAUACGGACUGACUCCUGCCCGGUGCUGGAAGGUUAAGGUGAACUGUGAGUGUAUGCGUAGCGGUGAACUUAAGCCCCAGUAAACGGCGGUGGUAACUAUAACCAUCCUAAGGUAGCGAAAUUCCUUGUCGGGUAAGUUCCGACCUGCACGAAUGGAGUAACGAUUUCCCUACUGUCUCCACCAUGAACUCGGUGAAAUUGCAUUACGAGUAAAGAUGCUCGUUACGCGCAGCAGGACGGCAAGACCCCGGGGCCUUUACUAUAGUUUGGUAUUGGUGAUUGGGACGGUUUGUGUAGGAUAGGUGGGAGACGUUGAUGCGGCCACGCUAGUGGUGGUGGAGUCGUUGGUGAAAUACCACUCUGAUUGUUCUGGUUAUCUCACUGUGGACCGUGAUCCGGUUCAAGGACAGUGCCUGAUGGGUAGUUUGACUGGGGCGGUCGCCUCCUAAAGGGUAACGGAGGCGCCCAAAGGUUCCCUCAGCCUGGUUGGUAUGCUCGGCGCGCUAGCACUACGACCAGCCGGAGACGAGGUCGUCGUACUGCUUAUAGCUGGACGAAAGUCGGGACUAGUGAUCUGACGGUGGCUUGUGGAUGCGCCGUCACUCAACGGAUAAAAGGUACCCCGGGGAUAACAGGCUGAUCUUGCCCGAGCGCUCAUAGCGACGGCAUGGUUUGGCACCUCGAUGUCGGCUCGUCGCAUCCUGGGGCUGGAGUCGGUCCCAAGGGUUGGGCUGUUCGCCCAUUAAAGCGGCACGCGAGCUGGGUUCAGAACGUCGUGAGACAGUUCGGUCCCUAUCCGCUGCGCGCGGAGGAAUCUUGAGAAGGGCUGUCUUUAGUACGAGAGGACCGAGACGGACUGACCUCUGGUGUGCCAGUUGUUCUGCCAAGAGCAUGGCUGGUUGGCUACGUCGGGUUGUGAUAACCGCUGAAAGCAUCUAAGCGGGAAGCACGCUUCAAGAUAAGGGUUCCCACAGGAGUGUUCCUGGUAAGGUCCCCGAGAGAUGAUCGGGUUGAUAGGCCAGACGUGGACGCAUCGUAAGGUGUGGAGCUGACUGGUACUAAUAGACCGAGGACUUUCAUU